CUUUUGUUUGACCUCGGAUCAGGUAGGGAUACCCGCUGAACUUAAGCAUAUCAAUAAGCGGAGGA
RNAcentral lists this ribosomal RNA (65 nucleotides) under Pilidium acerinum. RNAcentral describes it as "partial 28S ribosomal RNA". The stretch from base 9 to 65 matches the Rfam family "Eukaryotic large subunit ribosomal RNA", at positions 1 to 57 of the family's 3401-position model. The record is from RNAcentral. Lineage: Eukaryota; Fungi; Ascomycota; Leotiomycetes; Chaetomellales; Chaetomellaceae.